Molecule: ribosomal RNA, 286 nt
Filed under: uncultured bacterium
Lineage: Bacteria
Description: partial 16S ribosomal RNA
Rfam family: Bacterial small subunit ribosomal RNA
Source: RNAcentral
GAUGAACGCUAGCGGCAGGCCUAAUACAUGCAAGUCGGACGGGAUUGAGGAGCUUGCUCCUCAUGAGAGUGGCGCACGGGUGCGUAACACGUAUGUAACCUACCUUUACCAGGGGGAUAGCCUCUCGAAAGAGAGAUUAAGACCGCAUAAUAUGGAGACACAGCAUUGUGAUUUCAUCAAAUAUUUAUAGGGUAAAGAUGGGCAUGCGGAACAUUAGCUAGUUGGUAAGGUAAUGGCUUACCAAGGCUACGAUGUUUAGGGGGAUCUGAGAGGAUCGACCCCCACC